GAAAUGCGAUAAGUAAUGUGAAUUGCAGAAUUCCGUGAAUCAUCGAAUCUUUGAACGCACAUUGCGCCCUCUGGUAUUCCGGGGGGCAUGCCUGUCCGAGCGUCAUUGCUGCCCUCAAGCACGGCUUGUGUGUUGGGCUUCCGUCCCUGGCAACGGGGACGGGCCCAAAAGGCAGUGGCGGCACCAUGUCUGGUCCUCGAGCGUAUGGGGCUUUGUCACCCGCUCCCGUAGGUCCAGCUGGCAGCUAGCCUCGCAACCAAUCUUUUUAACCAGGUUGACCUCGGAUCAGGUAGGGAUACCCGCUGAACUUAAGC
RNAcentral lists this unclassified non-coding RNA (314 nucleotides) under plant metagenome. Its description in RNAcentral is "partial contains 5.8S ribosomal RNA, internal transcribed spacer 2, and large subunit ribosomal RNA". The stretch from base 1 to 105 matches the Rfam family "5.8S ribosomal RNA", at positions 50 to 154 of the family's 154-position model. The record is from RNAcentral.